Molecule: non-coding RNA, 21 nt
Filed under: Caenorhabditis elegans
Lineage: Eukaryota; Metazoa; Nematoda; Chromadorea; Rhabditida; Rhabditidae
Source: RNAcentral
UAGGAAAGUAUGUAGGAAAGU